RNAcentral lists this long non-coding RNA (898 nucleotides) under Homo sapiens (human). Its description in RNAcentral is "non-protein coding lnc-CCDC54-8:1". The record is from RNAcentral. Lineage: Eukaryota; Metazoa; Chordata; Mammalia; Primates; Hominidae.
AUUGCCAUAGCAUUCCUUAUGCUCAUUGAACGAAAGAUCUUAGGCUAUGUACAAAUACGCAAAAGACCCCACACUGUAGGGACUACUUCAGCCCUUUGCAGAUGCAAUAAAACUUUGUAUUAAAGAACGCUGUGACUUUUAGCAUCCACUAUUCCCCUAUACGUUAUUACUCCAACCCUAGCCUUAUCUAAUCCCCUCCUUAUAUGAAUCCCUUUCCCCAUACCAUAUCCUCUAACUAAUCUUAACAUAGGUCUCUUAUUUAUACUAGCCACAUCAAGCCUAGCUGUCUACUCUAUCUUAUGACCAAGAUGAGCAUCCAAUUCGAAAUAUGCACUAAUUGGUACACUAUGAGCAGCAGCCCAAACAAUUUCAUAUGAAGUUACCCUAGCUAUUAUCCUCCUAUCAGUUCUGUUAAUAAGUGGUUCAUUCAAUUUAUCUAUACUCAUCCCAAGAGUUUAUUCUGACUACUCCUACCAUCGUGACCUCUAACCAUAUGAUUUAUUUCCAUGCUAGCAGAAACUAACAGAGUCCCAUCUGACUUGACAGAAGGGGAAUCAGAAUUCGUUCCAGGCUUUAAUGUGGAAUAUGCUGCAGGUCCAUUUGCCCUAUUCUUUAUGUGGCAUAUAUAAAUAUUAUUAUAAUAAAUGCCCUAAGCACUAUUAUCUUCCUAGGAGCAUUAUAUGAUAUUCAUACACCAGAACUCUAUACUAUAAUUUUCAUCACCAAAACCCUCCUUUUAACAACCUUAUUUUUAUGACUUCAAGAGUCAUACCCUUGAUUCUGUUACGAUCAACUUGUACAUCUUCUAUGAAAAAAUGUCUUAGCAUUCACACUAGUGCUUUGCAGAUGACACAUCUCUAUGCCUGUCCUAAUAUCUAGUACCCCACCUCGAACAUAA